UGAGGAAUAUUGGUCAAUGGGCGCUAGCCUGAACCAGCCAAGUAGCGUGAAGGAUGAAGGCUCUAUGGGUCGUAAACUUCUUUUAUAUAAGAAUAAAGUGCAGUAUGUAUACUGUUUUGUAUGUAUUAUAUGAAUAAGGAUCGGCUAACUCCGUGCCAGCAGCCGCGGUAAUACGGAGGAUCCGAGCGUUAUCCGGAUUUAUUGAGUUUAAAGGGAGCGUAGGUGGACUGGUAAGUCAGUUGUGAAAGUUUGCGGCUCAACCGUAAAAUUGCAGUUGAUACUGUCAGUCUUGAGUACAGUAGAGGUGGGCGGAAUUCGUGGUGUAGCGGUGAAAUGCUUAGAUAUCACGAAGAACUCCGAUUGCGAAGGCAGCUCACUGGACUGCAACUGACACUGAUGCUCGAAAGUGUGGGUAUCAAACAGG
Molecule: ribosomal RNA, 424 nt
Filed under: Acidobacteriota bacterium
Lineage: Bacteria; Pseudomonadati; Acidobacteriota
Description: Acidobacteria bacterium partial 16S ribosomal RNA
Rfam family: Bacterial small subunit ribosomal RNA
Source: RNAcentral